UACGGGGGGAGCAAGCGUUGUUCGGAUUUACUGGGCGUAAAGGGCGCGUAGGCGGCGCAACAAGUCACUUGUGAAAUCUCCGGGCUUAACCCGGAGCGGCCAAGUGAUACUGUCGUGCUAGAGUGCGGAAGGGGCUACUGGAAUUCUCGGUGUAGCGGUGAAAUGCGUAGAGAUCGUAAGGAAGACCAGUGGCGAAGGCGGGUCUCUGGACAGUUCCUGACACUGAGGCACGAAGGCCAGGGGAGCAAACGGG
This 253-nucleotide ribosomal RNA is filed under the name uncultured bacterium. RNAcentral describes it as "partial 16S ribosomal RNA". It matches the Rfam family "Bacterial small subunit ribosomal RNA", at positions 524 to 776 of the family's 1533-position model. The record is from RNAcentral.